Molecule: long non-coding RNA, 3314 nt
Organism: Lolium rigidum
Lineage: Eukaryota; Viridiplantae; Streptophyta; Magnoliopsida; Poales; Poaceae
Exons: 2
Source: RefSeq, a predicted model, not a curated record
UUACUAAGUUUUUAGCUGGUCUAAGGCAUGAUAUUCAGAAAGCUAUACGUUUACAUGAACCGAGAACGGUUGAUGCUGCGUUAUCUCUUGCUGAAAUGCAGGAGGAAAUACUGGAAGAAUCAAGACAUAUAUUGAGCUCUCGAUACAAGAAUGAAUUCUCCAAACCUCAGUUCAGAAAAUAUUAUUCUGCAAGAGGAAUUCUUCAGCAACCAGCAGAAGACACCGAGAAAAAGGCAGAUGCAAAACCCCCUUGGUCAGAUGCACUGCGCACACUCAAAGCGCAACGUAGGGAAUGAGGGGAAUGUUUCAAAUGUGGUGACAAGUAUCACCCCGGCCACAAAUGCACCAAAACGGUGUCAAUCGGUGUGGUGGAGCAAUUGCUAGAACUGCUCCAAGUGGAGUCUGCUUCUGAUGAUGGAAAGGAAGAGAACUCGUCUGAAGAGGAAACAUUCAUGAAAAUUUCCAUAUCAGCAGCAACAGGCAUGGCGGCCAAAAACACAAUUCGGCUGCAUGGCACAAUUGGGGGAAAGCAAAUUCUUGUACUAGCUAAUUUGUGCAGCCAGGGAAGGUUUAUCUCGGGCAAAACUGUGGCACAACUAGGCCUCAAAGAAAAGCAAAUCGAGCCCCCCAAGUGGUGGUCGCAAAUGGUGGCAAAGUCAAGUGUGACAAGAUAGCACCAGAGGUGGUGUGGCAAUGCCAAGGGAACGUCUUUGCCUCCUCUCUUCGCAUAUUUGAUGUUGCUGGCUAUGACAUCAUCCUAGGGAUGGAUUGGCUAGAAGCAUGUGGCGAUAUGCGGAUCAACUGGGAAAAGAAACCCUUGAGAUUCCGGCACGAGGGCAAACGGAUCACGCUCAGAGGAAUAAAAAAUCGCAUGGAUAAAUGUUCCCAAAUAUCAGGCCCUGGGUUACAUAGACUCAUCAAGAAUGGUUCACUGGCACAAGUGAUUCAACUGUGCACAGUCCAAGAGAAAACAAAUGAGGCAAGGCAACACAAACAUUUAUAGCAAUGGUGUUGGAGGAAUUCAGUGAGUGCUUUGGGGAACCGAACAAAUUGCCACCACAAAGAUCCUUUGAUCAUCAUAUCAACCUGGUGCCUGGGGAAAAACCAGUGAGUGUGCGUCCGUACAGGUAUACGCCACAACAAAAAGACGAGAUAGAGAAACAGAUUACAGACUUGCUGAAGAAGGUUAUCAUCAAACCAAGCCACUGCCCGUUUGCAUCCCCAGUUCUCCUCGUCAAGAAAAAAGAUGGCAGUGGGAGGUUCUGCGUGGAGUACAGACAUCUCAAUGCCACCACUGUAAAUGAUAAGUACCCAAUGCCAAUUGUGGAAUAAUUGCUUGACGAACUAGCAGGGGCAAAGUUCUUCACCAAGAUUGAUUUGAGAUCGGGGUAUCAUCAAAUUCGACUGGGAGAAAAUGAUGAAGUGAAAUCAGCAUUCCAAGCUCACAGAGGACACUUUGAGUUCCAUGUCAUGCCAGUUUGCUUAUCAAAAGCACCAGCGACAUUUCAAUCAGCGAUGCAACAAAUUUUGCAGAACAGCGUCAAAAAACUGUGCUCGUGUUCGUUGACGAUAUUCUAGUCUACAGCAAAUCCUUGCAAGAACAUGCUCAACACCUACGGGAAGUGUUCACCCUUUUGAAAAAGCACAGCCUAUAUGCCAAACAAAGCAAAUGCUCGUUUGCUCAGGAGUCCCUUGAGUACUUGGGACACAUUAUAAGUGCAGGAGGAGUUGCAACAGAUCCUGCGAAAAUCGAAGCAGUAAAACAGAGGCCAAGACCAAUCAACCUCAAGUUGCUGAGAGGCUUUCUCAGCCUAGCGGGAUACUACAGAAAGUUCAUAAUAGGGUUUGGUAGCAUAUGCAAGCCGCUGAAAAAUCUUCUGCGCAAGAACACGCAAUUUCUGUGGACACCAUCUGAGCAAGAUUCUUUCCAAGCCUUGAAGGAUGCACUGGUGGCAGCCCCCAAUGUUGGCUCUACCAGACUUCACAAAAGAAUUUGUCCUGGAAAAAGAUGCCUGAGACAGCAGUAUAGGAGCUGUCCUAAUGCAACAGGAACACCCAAUUGCAUUCUUAAGAAAAGCCCUUGGCCCCAAAAACCAAGCGUUGUCAACUUAUGACAAGGAGUGCCUAGCUAUUCUACUGGCCAUUGUCAAUACCACCGGCAAGUGAAAAAUAACGGUUCCUGUAGAUCGAGUAGCCUGCCAUCCGAACCGUGACGGUCCCGGUCCCGAUGCCUGUGCUCCCUGUGGAGAUGGAACCUGGCGCGCGGCGCGGCCCUCAGACCCUUGGGGGCGGCUCUCCUCCUCCAACCAGGCGAAAUUGCACAGCCGCGCCUCUCCGCACUGCCGUCGACGAGGCCUCCGCCUCGAGGGUGCUGACAGGAGUAUACGGGGCGCCGCACCUGGAUAGUCAGGGAGCCAUGCCAGAGGGAAGGGGUCGGGCUGAGAGGGCGGUACCGUGACUGACAAGACGGCUGGUGACGAGGGAGGGAGGAUCUGAUUGAGCGCCAACCUCCGUCCUCCACGGCGCCGCGCAGACCCGUCCUCCUCCAUGGCACCGGUGAGGGCGCGGUGGAAAGAAGGAGCGCAUCCAAGUUGGCCUUGGCCCUGGGUCUGCGUCUGCCCCGAGCAGCUUCAAGCCUGUGCUGAUGGGCACGGCCAGGAGUCGACGCCUCUGUCUGCCUCCCGUCGGUAAAUGGAUUCGGCAUUCAAAGAAAAAUUCUAGCCAGGAUCUCGAGGUAUUUGGCCGCGACAGCAUGGCAUCCUGGCCAUCGACGCAUGUGGUACCGCUUCACCCUGCACCGUUCCCCAUCCUCGUGGAUGACCGUGCUUGGGAUGACCGCCGCCGUCGUCUGGGACAGCGCCGUGGUCCGGGAGCGGGAGGGCAUGGCGGCUGUGCAGCCUGUGCUGCCGCGAGUUUUACACCAAAACAUGUCGUUGGAUUGAUCUACUUGGGAGUGAUAUUGACUAAAUCGGGGAUUGUGAUUAGCAGUAGAUUGACUUGGUCUGCAGCUCUAGCUCCCGUCGACCUCGCGCUUGCACAAUAGUGUAUGCUUCCUUAGUUUGAGAAUGAAUAUGACCAUAUAUCUCUGAUUGCUCGAGAGAAAAACAGCAGCGGGGAAAUGAGAAAAAGCAAGCUGCGAGGCCGCAGAACAACAUAGAAAAAGACUCAUGAUCGGCUCAGGAGUCAGACGAAUUAUCAAACUGUAAUGUGCUAUGAGGCUAUCAGAUGUUCACUUAUGUCCAUGCAAAAAAAAAUGUAUUUUGGGACUGUAUUUAUACAUGUCAGCGGGUGUUCAUAAUUAUGCACUAGAAUGA